This 216-nucleotide ribosomal RNA is filed under the name uncultured bacterium. RNAcentral's name for it is "partial 16S ribosomal RNA". It matches the Rfam family "Bacterial small subunit ribosomal RNA", at positions 125 to 334 of the family's 1533-position model. The record is from RNAcentral.
CCGUAGCCUGGUAGCGGGGGGUAACUAUUGGAAACGAUAGCUAAUACCGCAUAAGAGUAGAUGUUGCAUGACAUUUGCUUAAAAGGUGCAAUUGCAUCACUACCAGAUGGACCUGCGUUGUAUUAGCUAGUUGGUGAGGUAGCGGCUCACCAAGGCGACGAUACAUAGCCGACCUGAGAGGGUGAUCGGCCACACUGGGACUGAGACACGGCCCAG